GAUGAACGCUAGCGGCAGGCUUAACACAUGCAAGUCGAGGGGCAGCGCGAUGUAGCAAUACAUUGGCGGCGACCGGCGCACGGGUGCGUAACACGUAUGGAACUUACCCUUUACUGGGAGAUAGCCCGGAGAAAUCCGGAUUAAUAUCCCAUAAUAAACGAAGUGGCAUCACUUUGUUUGAAAGCUCCGGCGGUAAAGGAUGGCCAUGCGCACGAUUAGCUAGUAGGUGAGGUAACGGCUCACCUAGGCUACGAUCGUUAGGGGGCCUGAGAGGGUUAUCCCCCANACUGGUACUGAGACACGGACUAGACUCCUACGGGAGCAGCAGUGAGGAAUAUUGCGCAAUGGAGGCAACUCUGACGCAGCCAUGCCGCGUGCAGGAAGAAGGCGCUUACGCGUUGUAAACUGCUUUUAACCGGGAAGAAACCCUCCGACGUGUCGGAGGUUGACGGUACCGGAGGAAUAAGCACCGGNUAACUCGUGCCAGCAGCCGCGGUAAAGU
This 502-nucleotide ribosomal RNA is filed under the name uncultured bacterium. RNAcentral's name for it is "bacterial SSU rRNA". It matches the Rfam family "Bacterial small subunit ribosomal RNA", at positions 28 to 526 of the family's 1533-position model. The record is from RNAcentral.